UGGGGAAUAUUGGACAAUGGGCGAAAGCCUGAUCCAGCCAUGCCGCGUGUGUGAAGAAGGUCUUCGGAUUGUAAAGCACUUUAAGUUGGGAGGAAGGGCAUUAACCUAAUACGUUAGUGUUUUGACGUUACCGACAGAAUAAGCACCGGCUAACUCUGUGCCAGCAGCCGCGGUAAUACAGAGGGUGCAAGCGUUAAUCGGAAUUACUGGGCGUAAAGCGCGCGUAGGUGGUUUGUUAAGUUGGAUGUGAAAGCCCCGGGCUCAACCUGGGAACUGCAUCCAAAACUGGCAAGCUAGAGUACGGUAGAGGGUGGUGGAAUUUCCUGUGUAGCGGUGAAAUGCGUAGAUAUAGGAAGGAACACCAGUGGUGAAGGCGACCACCUGGACUGAUACUGACACUGAGGUGCGAAAGCGUGGGGAGCAAACA
This 427-nucleotide ribosomal RNA is filed under the name uncultured bacterium. RNAcentral's name for it is "partial 16S ribosomal RNA". It matches the Rfam family "Bacterial small subunit ribosomal RNA", at positions 355 to 774 of the family's 1533-position model. The record is from RNAcentral.